Molecule: long non-coding RNA, 483 nt
Organism: Cyprinus carpio (common carp)
Lineage: Eukaryota; Metazoa; Chordata; Actinopteri; Cypriniformes; Cyprinidae
Exons: 3
Source: RefSeq, a predicted model, not a curated record
GGGAGCAACACCAAUUGCUCAAUCGCAUUUGUCAGGGCAGGAGAACAGCCACAAGCAGGGAGUAAGGCACCAGCAGGGAUCCUGGCAUCAGCCAAGGACUGGAAACUCGCUGUGGAUUUGGAGAAGCAGCUGAAAUUCCCCCAGCACAUUGUCAGCAUAACUAUGAGGCCAGAUAUCAUUCUAGUCUCAGAGAGCACCAAGAAUAUGAUCAUCAUGGAGCUGACCGUCCCAUGGGAGGACCGCUUGGGAGGAGCUCACGAAAGAAAGAUGACCAAAUAUGAACAUCUGAUCACAGACUGCCGAGCACAGGGCUGGAAGGAGAGAUGCAUGCCUAUCGAGGUUGGCUGCAGAGGAUUUGUGGGGCGCUCCCUCCACAAAGCCUUCACUGCGCUGGGCAUUGUAGGAACAACAAGGAGCAGGGCCAUCAAGAACAUCACAGAGAAAGCCUCGAGAUGGCUCUGGAUCCGUAGAGGAACACCAUGG